GUUUUCUGGCAUUUGUUGUGCGCGCAAAUUACGGUGUUCUCGCAAAUUGUGAUUGAUUUAGAUGAGAGGUGCUACGAUAUACACUAACAAACCAACUGAGCCUCGCAAGCGGGCGGCGUCUGACCAAACAACUCGUGUUGACGGCAUCUGAAGAAAUGUCGCUUCCCGCGGCAUGUCAACACGAGAACACGAGGAUCUGUUGUUCUUCCAUGAAAUUACCCACGGCAGCUGAUCCUGGCAUUCUUGCAGGACUCGAAGCUAGGAAGAGUCAGCGCUACCGUAAUCCUUGUUGCGCAUGUACCUACCGUAAUAUCCAGAGAGAUGCCCCGCCCCCAAAAGAUAACCGACUUCUAUUUUUGUCUUGGUUUGCUAUUUUUUCGUAAACACCAGAAGAUAGCCCACUCCUAGUAAUGAUCAACGGUGGUCUCUGAGUAAAUGUGGCCAGUUAGCUAUGGUGGGAUAUAAGCAAACUUUGCUGACUGGAAAGUAGUCAUCUUUGCUUCAUUUCCCUCGCCACGAUAAGAAGCUUGGCGGGGACACAUAACCUAAAAAUUGAAUUUUUUCAAUUUUUCUUGAUUGCACAUCGAAAGUUAGCCUACUCCUAAUUUUAACCCGAUUCGCUCUUGAUUUUAGGUGGGCUAUCUCUCAAGAUAUUAUUGUAGCUUUUUUUUUUUCUCUCUUAAUUUAGGUGUUUGCAGGCCACCUGUUAUGGGCCUUCGGCGUCUCUACUGUACUCCCCGCCCCCCCCGUCCCCAUAAAUAAAAAUAAAAUGAAAUUUAAAAAAAAAAAUAAAAAAAUAAUGAAGUUAUGAAAUUUAGUGUUUCUGGAGGACAAUUUUCAUCACAUUGGUGUGUUGUGUUAAAGAAAGGACGGGGUUUUAAGGGAUUGCAAAAGGUUGUUAACAAAGAGGGGCAUGAUAUUUCGGUCUAAGGUAACAAUUUUUAUUUUUUUUACGCUUUUUUUUGUGACAGUUUUUAGUAGUUUGUGGUUUGUGCUAUAAUUCUUUUGAGUUUAAAGAGGAUGCUAAAAGAAAUAGUCAGCUUUAACCAACCUUGGCUAAAGACAAAAUUGUCUCUCUUUUCUUGGUCUGUUUGAUUGAAUUUCUAUUGUUUAUAAGAAAAGUGUCCUGUCAUAAAGCUCUUGGUAUGAACUCGUGACUUUCCGUGGUGCUUGCACUUACUCCUCUGUCUGUGCAUUACCUGCCUGCAUUAUAAGCUGGAACUGAUGUCCUUUAUGCCUUCUGUCAGCUUUUUGAAGCAUCUUUAUUAUCUCAAAUUGAUCUCUAAUAUAAAGCCCUUGCAUAUGUCAUUCAACAUAUCUUAGGAGAUGUGCCUUUUAACGAAUCUAGCGUGUCAUGUGGCACAGCUCAAUCUUCCUAAAUGUAUAACCUCAUCAUUUUUGAAUAUUUUAAAUAUUUAGAACCUGUGGGCUAAAUUUGUCUGCAAAGCCUGUGAAAGUCCAGUAAAAAACAAGUGCCUCGAAGUCUGCUUAAAAAAAUAAAAAUGGGAAUUUGUUUUUUUUUGUAAAUGCAAAAGGUGUUUGCGUAUAUCUGCCUUGUUAAAGGGUCUCUUGUUAUGAGUGCUUUGUCUGAAAGGCUCUGUGCAGUGUUGGAGUUGUAAUUUAUGUCAAUAUGUUCCUUUUUAUAUCUGGUGCGAUUUGAAAUUCCUGUUUUCUGUAUCUGAAAUACUUGUAUCUGUUCUAGGUACAGAUAAGCAAACUUUUGCUUGAUUUUCGUGCACCUCAAACCUGACUACCUUGUGUAUACGAUUCUGCGUGGCGUUGCCCGAGUUUGGUUUUGUGCGUCUCUCGGCUCUUUCAACUUUAACCUCCUUAGACAGAGCCUUUACUCUGUCCGUCUUUUGACGUGUGCAAGCUCAAGUGUAGACCGAUUCUGGCAAUCUUUCUUUCUUGGCGUUUCACGAGGGUUGCAUUCCUUUCUGUAUGCAUUUUUUUAAUCAUUCUGCCAUUUAAAUUUCUGUCGCUUGUUUGGACAUUCAUGUGCAAGCGGACAGGGUCACUUUAACCACCCUCUCUAUUCUCCUAGGUCCACGGAGACCUGGAGCGAGGAGAGGUCCGGGAGGCAUCGCCCCACUCCUGAACUGGCUUCACGGAUUCGGACUCGAAGCGCCGAAGGCCACCCUGAAAAGAUCUCCCCUUUAGAUGGCCACUCUCGAGACUGGUCGCCCCUCCCCGAUGUCGGAAACAGCCUGGCAAGCCCGAGCGGUCGCGCUUCCAGUGCAGCUAUUGCGAGUACAAGAGCGAGUACAAGUGCUACGUGGUGGCACACGAACGCAUUCACACGGGGGAGCGUCCAUACAAGUGCCCGCUGUGUAGCAAGGCCUUCACCUUCAAGCACCACGUGACUACACACCUGCGCUGCCACACCGGAGAGAAACCCUUCCGCUGCAGCAUGUGCCCGCGCUCCUUUGCGCAGAAGAGCAACCUGAACCAGCACCUGCUCAUUCAUCGGAACAACGUGCGCUGAGGGCGGUGGGUGAGACGCUUGAAUUGGGACGUCAUUUGGAAAUCCGUUCUAAUCGGAACUCUUUGACGCUUCAGACUUCACUUUUUAAGGAGUUGUUUUGUGUACUGUGUACUUCUGUUACAAAAGGCUUACCACAAAGUAUCACUGUGGCGGAUACCUGCAGCAAAGGUCGAACGUUGUGCCGUCAACGACAGAAUUGUGUAGUUCUCAAAAUAUAAGUUUAAAGGGGCACUAAAAUUGGAUCUUGAGAUCCAGUUUUAGCUGGACUUAAACUGAAACGAAGUAUAGGAGAGAGCGUGAUGCCAGCCAUGUAGCUUCCACAAGCAAUCCUCUCUUGGAGGAGUGUCCCCUUCUAAUACUUCCGAUCUCCUCACUUGCGCUGACCGUGCAAGAAGUAGCGAAAGUUUGAAAUGCUGCGGGAAAGCUAUCCCCCAGUACAAAUAAAGUGAUGCAUUCCACAU
Molecule: RNA transcript, 2946 nt
Organism: Ixodes scapularis (black-legged tick)
Lineage: Eukaryota; Metazoa; Arthropoda; Arachnida; Ixodida; Ixodidae
Exons: 4
Source: RefSeq, a predicted model, not a curated record